UGUAAUGUGCACAUUUUUUUCCCNCACUGC
RNAcentral lists this non-coding RNA (30 nucleotides) under Mus musculus (house mouse). The record is from RNAcentral. Lineage: Eukaryota; Metazoa; Chordata; Mammalia; Rodentia; Muridae.